Trifolium pratense (red clover) is the source of this 473-nucleotide long non-coding RNA. RefSeq lists it as uncharacterized. The transcript is spliced from 3 exons. The record is from RefSeq and is a predicted model, not a curated record. Lineage: Eukaryota; Viridiplantae; Streptophyta; Magnoliopsida; Fabales; Fabaceae.
AGCAAACUAACACUAUUGACUGUGGAUAUUUUGUGUCGCGCUUUAUGAAAGAGGUUGUCAUGCAAUAUCCAAAGAAGAUUCCCGAUAAUUAUUUUGAUGAAUACAAAUGUGGUACAUACUCUAAGGAUAAGUUAAGUGAAGUGAAGGAUGAAUGGGCAGGAUAUAUUUUCACAAAUGUUAUCCCCGGUGGAAGUUGGAUAAUGGACUUCUUGGAAACAUGAAAGAUGCUUGCUUGGUUGGGCAAUUGACAGAGGAAUAUUGUUUAGGUUAAUUAGCUAUAUUGUCUUGUUAUAAGUAGUGUCAUGAACAUCAUCUAGCGGGUUAGGAUAAUUAGUUUGUUUUUGUCUUGGACACAAAAUUGUCUUGCUUCUUUGUUUGUUUUGUGAAGGAUGGGAGACUAUGUAAUUUGAUGGUACUUAUUGGCCUUCUUUGUGCCUUUUUAUAUCUUUAUUAAUAUAACUUUGCCUUUUGUA